UGCAAACUAAAUUAAAGUGAAACCGCAAAUGGCUCAUUAAAUCAGUUAUGGUUCAUUAGAUGCUACACCACAUUUACUUGGAUAACUGUGGCAAUUCUAGAGCUAAUACAUGCAAACAGAGUUCCCACCGGAAACGGUAGGAACGCUUUUAUUAGAUCAAAAUCAAUACGUUUGUUUCGGCGAACGAUUGAAUUGGUGACUCUGAAUAACUUUUUGAUGAUCGCAUGGUCCUAGUACCGGCGACAAAUCUUUCAAAUGUCUGCCUUAUCAACUGUCGAUGGUAGGCUCUGCGCCUACCAUGGUUGUAACGGGUGACGGGGAAUCAGGGUUCGAUUCCGGAGAGGGAGCCUGAGAAACGGCUACCACAUCCAAGGAAGGCAGCAGGCGCGCAAAUUACCCACUCCCGGCACGGGGAGGUAGUGACGAAAAAUAACGAUACGGGACUCAUCCGAGGCCCCGUAAUCGGAAUGAGUACACUGUAAAUACUUUAACAAGUAUCCAUUGGAGGGCAAGUCUGGUGCCAGCAGCCGCGGUAAUUCCAGCUCCAAUAGCGUAUAUUAAAGUUGUUGCGGUUAAAAAGCUCGUAGUUGGAAAUGUGUCCCGCACUGUCGGUGCGCCAUUUAUGGUGUUUACUGACAUGCUGCGGGACGUCCUGUCGGUGAGAUUGGUUACUACUAUUUGUAUACGUUUCAUUUUAAUUCUUUAAGAUGAACGUUACUUAUGGUAUGUUAAACAUUCUCUUGUCACCCAUCGCGGUGCUCUUUACUGAGUGUCGCGGCGGGCCGACACAUUUACUUUGAACAAAUUAGAGUGCUAAAAGCAAGCCCAAACGCCUGAAUAUUGUGUGCAUGGAAUAAUAGAAUAGGACCUCGGUUCUAUUUUGUUGGUUUUCUGGACCAGAGGUAAUGAUUAAGAGGAACAGACGGGGGCAUUCGUAUUGAGACGUUAGAGGUGAAAUUCUUGGAUCGUCUCAAGACGGACAGAAGCGAAAGCAUUUGCCAAGAAUGUUUUCAUUAAUCAAGAACGAAAGUUAGAGGUUCGAAGGCGAUCAGAUACCGCCCUAGUUCUAACCAUAAACGAUGCCAGCCAGCGAUCCGCCAAAGUUCCUCCGAUGACUUGGCGGGCAGCUUCCGGGAAACCAAAGCUUUUGGGUUCCGGGGGAAGUAUGGUUGCAAAGCUGAAACUUAAAGGAAUUGACGGAAGGGCACCACCAGGAGUGGAGCCUGCGGCUUAAUUUGACUCAACACGGGAAACCUCACCAGGUCCGGACACCGGAAGGAUUGACAGAUUGAUAGCUCUUUCUUGAUUCGGUGGGUGGUGGUGCA
This 1325-nucleotide ribosomal RNA is filed under the name Cranopygia sp. IH-2020. Its description in RNAcentral is "SSU rRNA". It matches the Rfam family "Eukaryotic small subunit ribosomal RNA", at positions 64 to 1284 of the family's 1831-position model. The record is from RNAcentral. Lineage: Eukaryota; Metazoa; Arthropoda; Insecta; Dermaptera; Pygidicranidae.